UCACUAGUGAUUGGCAGCAGUGGGGAAUAUUGCACAAUGGGCGCAAGCCUGAUGCAGCCAUGCCGCGUGUAUGAAGAAGGCCUUCGGGUUGUAAAGUACUUUCAGCGGGGAGGAAGGGAGUAAAGUUAAUACCUUUGCUCAUUGACGUUACCCGCAGAAGAAGCACCGGCUAACUCCGUGCCAGCAGCCGCGGUAAUACA
This 200-nucleotide ribosomal RNA is filed under the name uncultured bacterium. RNAcentral describes it as "partial 16S ribosomal RNA". It matches the Rfam family "Bacterial small subunit ribosomal RNA", at positions 335 to 527 of the family's 1533-position model. The record is from RNAcentral.